This 292-nucleotide ribosomal RNA is filed under the name uncultured bacterium. RNAcentral describes it as "partial 16S ribosomal RNA". The record is from RNAcentral.
GGACUACUAGGGUUUCUAAUCCGGAUCGCUCCCCACGCUUUCGCGCCUCAGCGUCAGCAAAGCUCCAGGCAACCGCCUUCGCCACUGGUGUUCCUCCCGAUAUCUACGCAUUCCACCACUACACCGGGAAUUCCAUUGCCCCCUAGCUUGCUCAAGUUCGACCGUAUCCGCUGACCCCGCCCAGUUGAGCCGAGCGAUUUCACAACGGACGUGCCGAACCGCCUGCGCGCCCUUUACGCCCAAUAAAUCCGGGCAACGCUCGCACCCUACGUAUUACCGCGGCGGCUGGCAC